GAUAAGGGAACUCCCAGUGCUCAUGUAUUGCAUGGGCUUUUGCCAAGAGUAAACAUCUUGGCGAAUAAGGGGUGGGCAAGACGGGUGCCAGCCGCCGCGGUAACACCUGCACCCCGAGUAGCAAUCACGUUUAUUGGGCCUAAAGCGUUCGUAGCCGGAAUAGUCAGUCUUGGGUGAAAUCGCUGAGCUUAACGAAGCGACGUGCUUGAGAUACUGCCAUUCUAGGGACUGGGAGGCGUAAGAGGUAUUCCUGAGGGACCGGUAAAAUGGGUUGAUCUCAGGAGGACCACCUGUGGCGAAGGCGUCUUACGAGAACAGGUCCGACGGUGAGGAACGAAAGCUAGGGGAGCAAACCGGAUUAGAUACCCGAGUAGUCCUAGCUGUAAACGCUGCCAACUAGAUGUUGCAUAGUCUUCAAGGCUGUGCAGUGUCGGAGCGAAGGUGUUAAGUUGGCCGCCUGGGAAGUACGGUCGCAAGGCUGAA
RNAcentral lists this ribosomal RNA (483 nucleotides) under uncultured euryarchaeote. RNAcentral describes it as "bacterial SSU rRNA". It matches the Rfam family "Archaeal small subunit ribosomal RNA", at positions 369 to 853 of the family's 1478-position model. The record is from RNAcentral. Lineage: Archaea; Methanobacteriati; Methanobacteriota.